Long non-coding RNA from Trichosurus vulpecula (common brushtail), 742 nucleotides. RefSeq lists it as uncharacterized. Lineage: Eukaryota; Metazoa; Chordata; Mammalia; Diprotodontia; Phalangeridae. The transcript has 3 exons. The record is from RefSeq and is a predicted model, not a curated record.
GCCGGAUUUGAACCGAGGUUUUCCUGACUCCAGGUCCAGCCAGCGCCUUCAUUUUUAUGAGGAAGCUGACGCCCACAGAGAGUAAUAGAGGGGCAGAGGGCAGAUGUGGACUCUGACCAGCAGGGCACAUUCCUCGAUGGCCCCCAGGGCCCUCGGUAAGCCCAUGUGCUGGGCUCAUGGCACCUUGCAGAUGGGAACAUCGGAGCCGGAAAAGAGAUGAAGUGCCUUAUCUAAGACCACACCUGGUUCUUUUGAAUCCAAAUCCAGUGCUUUUUCUGAUAAUCCAGGCAUUUGGCAGCCUAUAGCACCCAGGAGAAAAUACAAAAUGCUUUGUUUGGCAUUCAAAGACCUCCAUAACCUAGCUCCCCUGCUCCCCUAGCUCCCUUUUCAGUCGUCUUAUAUAUACCUUUUCCCAGACUUCUACUCUUCAAUCCAGUGACACUGGCCGCUUUAAAUGUUUCAUUAAUAAAACACUCUCUCUCUCACCUCCAGGCACUUUCUCUGGCUGUCCCCCAUAGCUGGAAUGCUCUCCCUCCUUAUCUCUGCCUACUUCUGACCUACCUCAUUGUUAAGUCCCAACUAAAAUUCCUUCCUUUACUGGAAGCCUUCCCCAACCCUCCUUAAUUCUAGUGCUAUCUCUGUUAGUUACUUCAUAUUCAUCCUGUAAAUAAGUUUCUUUGAAUAUAUUUGUUUUCAUGCUCUCUCCCACUUUAGAAUGUAAGUUCCUCAAGUAUCCCCAGUG